RNAcentral lists this ribosomal RNA (254 nucleotides) under uncultured bacterium. RNAcentral describes it as "partial 16S ribosomal RNA". It matches the Rfam family "Bacterial small subunit ribosomal RNA", at positions 524 to 776 of the family's 1533-position model. The record is from RNAcentral.
UACGUAGGGGGCAAGCGUUGUCCGGAUUUAUUGGGCGUAAAGAGCGUGUAGGCGGCCAUGUAGGUCCGGUGUGAAAACUCGAGGCUUAACCUCGAGAUGUCAUCGGAAACCAUUUGGCUAGAGUCCGGAAGAGGAGAGUGGAAUUCCUGGUGUAGCGGUGAAAUGCGCAGAUAUCAGGAAGAACACCCGUGGCGAAGGCGGCUCUCUGGAACGCAACUGACGCUGAGACGCGAAAGCGUGGGGGAGCAAACAGG